This 117-nucleotide ribosomal RNA is filed under the name Gammaproteobacteria bacterium. RNAcentral also lists the same sequence under 1 other name. Lineage: Bacteria; Pseudomonadati; Pseudomonadota; Gammaproteobacteria. The record is from RNAcentral.
UCUGGUGAUUAUAGCGAUGGGGAAACACCUCUUCCCAUUCCGAACAGAGAAGUUAAGCCCAUCAGCGCCGAUGGUACUAUAUCGUCCGCGAUAUGGGAGAGUCGGUCAUCACCAGGG